This 1438-nucleotide ribosomal RNA is filed under the name Streptomyces fimbriatus. RNAcentral describes it as "bacterial SSU rRNA". The record is from RNAcentral. Lineage: Bacteria; Bacillati; Actinomycetota; Actinomycetes; Kitasatosporales; Streptomycetaceae.
GGGGUUCGCGUCCUUACUGCAGUCGACGAUGACCGCCUUCGGGCGGGGAUUAGUGGCGAACGGGUGAGUAACACGUGGGCAAUCUGCCCUGCACUCUGGGACAAGCCCUGGAAACGGGGUCUAAUACCGGAUACAACCACUUCGGGCAUCCGAUGGUGGUGGAAAGCUCCGGCGGUGCAGGAUGAGCCCGCGGCCUAUCAGCUUGUUGRUSMGGUMWCGSMUCACCAAGGGCGGAACGACGGKUAGSCSGCCUUGAGAGGKCGAACCGGCCACAACUGGGACUGAGACACGGMCCAGACUCCUACGGGAGGCAGCAGUGGGGAAUAUUGCACAAUGGGCGCAAGCCUGAUGCAGCGACGCCGCGUGAGGGAUGACGGCCUUCGGGUUGUAAACCUCUUUUCAGCAGGGAAGAAGCGCAAGUGACGGUACCUGCAGAAGAAGCGCCGGCUAACUACGUGCCAGCAGCCGCGGUAAUACGUAGGGCGCGAGCGUUGUCCGGAAUUAUUGGGCGUAAAGAGCUCGUAGGCGGCUUGUCGCGUCGGUUGUGAAAGCCCGGGGCUUAACCCCGGGUCUGCAGUCGAUACGGGCAGGCUAGAGUUCGGUAGGGGAGAUCGGAAUUCCUGGUGUAGCGGUGAAAUGCGCAGAUAUCAGGAGGAACACCGGUGGCGAAGGCGGAUCUCUGGGCCGAUACUGACGCUGAGGAGCGAAAGCGUGGGGAGCGAACAGGAUUAGAUACCCUGGUAGUCCACGCCGUAAACGGUGGGCACUAGGUGUGGGCGACAUUCCACGUCGUCCGUGCCGCAGCUAACGCAUUAAGUGCCCCGCCUGGGGAGUACGGCCGCAAGGCUAAAACUCAAAGGAAUUGACGGGGGGCCCGCACAAGCGGCGGAGCAUGUGGCUUAAUUCGACGCAACGCGAAGAACCUUACCAAGGCUUGACAUACACCGGAAAACCCUGGAGACAGGGUCCCCCUUGUGGUCGGUGUACAGGUGGUGCAUGGCUGUCGUCAGCUCGUGUCGUGAGAUGUUGGGUUAAGUCCCGCAACGAGCGCAACCCUUGUCCCGUGUUUGCCAGCAAGCCCCUUCGGGGGUGUUGGGGACUCACGGGAGACCGCCGGGGGUCAACUCGGAGGRASGUGGGGACGACGUCAAGUCAUCAUGSCCCUUAUGGUCUUGGGCCUGCACACGAUGACUUACCAAUGGCCGGUUACMAURAKYUKCGAUACCGCGAGGUGGAGCGAAUCUCAAAAAGCCGGUCUCAGUUCGGAUUGGGGUCUGCAACUCGACCCCAUGAAGUCGGAGUCGCUAGUAAUCGCAGAUCAGCAUUGCUGCGGUGAAUACGUUCCCGGGCCUUGUACACACCGCCCGUCACGUCACGAAAGUCGGUAACACCCGAAGCCGGUGGCCCAACCCCUGUGGAGGGAGCGACAAACGUAUCC